UGUCCUGGACGGCAGCCUUCAACUCAGUGGCCAAACCCGCUUCAACAUUCCUAGCAACAACCGAGUGGCUGUGGGUAGGUCUGGUUUCACUGUCAGAGCUCAUCAGACACCGGCCGAGCCUGAGACUGGACGCAGAGCCAUGUUGGGUCUUGUUGCUGCUGGUUUGGCCACUGGCUCCUUUGUUCAAGCUGUGCUUGCCGAUGCCAGAAGCAUCAAGGUUGGCCCACCUCCCCCUCCCUCUGGUGGACUGCGUAAGUCAUCCAUUCUUUUCAAUUUAUACAAAUUUAAUCAACAUUGUUUUGUAGGCCAUGGUCCAUAAAGAACUUGAGAACUGGAAUUUUAGCUGGAAAAAUGGAAUCAUUAUAUAUUUUAUAAAUGUUCAAAUUUUGUAAUUUGAUGAUGAAAUCGGCAUGUCGGCAGCUGGAACUCUGAACUCUGAUGAGCCAAGAGACCUUGUUCUGCCAUACAAAGACAGGUUCUUCCUCCAACCAGUUACUCCAGCUCAGGCAGCACAGAGAGCAAAGGAAUCAGCCAAGGACAUUCUGGGUGUCAAGAACUUGAUUGACAAAAAAGCCUGGCCUUAUGUCAUGAAUGAUCUCCGUCUCAAGGC
Molecule: long non-coding RNA, 610 nt
Filed under: Gossypium barbadense (sea-island cotton)
Lineage: Eukaryota; Viridiplantae; Streptophyta; Magnoliopsida; Malvales; Malvaceae
Description: long non-coding RNA (GBAR_LNC005449)
Source: RNAcentral